AGUUGGAUUCGCUAGUAAUCGCGCAUCAGCCAUGGCGCGGUGAAUACGUUCCCGGGCCCUUGUACACACCGCCCGUCAAGCCAUGGGAGCCGGGGGCGCCUGAAGUCCGGGACCGCGAGGACCGGCCUAGGGCGAAACUGGUAACUGGGGCUAAGUCGUAACAAGGUACC
RNAcentral lists this ribosomal RNA (170 nucleotides) under uncultured bacterium. Its description in RNAcentral is "partial 16S ribosomal RNA". It matches the Rfam family "Bacterial small subunit ribosomal RNA", at positions 1324 to 1500 of the family's 1533-position model. The record is from RNAcentral.